This 624-nucleotide long non-coding RNA is filed under the name Limulus polyphemus (Atlantic horseshoe crab). RNAcentral describes it as "uncharacterized LOC111084243, transcript variant X1". The record is from RNAcentral. Lineage: Eukaryota; Metazoa; Arthropoda; Merostomata; Xiphosura; Limulidae.
CUUAUCGGUGACUUUAUUUAUGUUGCAAAUAAAUGUUUCAAAUAAACUGUCAUGAGCUUCAUUAACUUGGCGCACCAAAGAUGGUGGAAAAGUGUUGUUUUUCGAUAUUUUAAGUUUUAUACAUAGUUUUUAGAAAAACGUACAGAAGAAAAAAAAAUGUUUUGUGUAUAGAAAUAUUAAUCCCGAUAUUGAUGGUAUACUCUUGUGUUAGUAGGAAACAAUGUAAACUGUUUGAUAGUUUAAGGGAUCAAAGAAGGACUUGAAAACAACUAACAAAAUACCCAACCGUUGAUGAAAGAACAGAACCAUUUAGAGAUGUUUUACAGAGAGCAAUAUCCAACAUUGAAAACUGGAGAAAAUGAAUGCGAACAGAAAGAUUAGAUAUUUUUCCACAACCCAGAAGACUUUGUUCUUGUGUCUCCACCUCUCAUCCUUUGUAUCCAGUUGAUAACUUCCGUGUCUUCUGCUCAACGUAGUUGGUCUUCGAACUCAAAGUUCUUGAAAGGUGAACCAGAAUACGAAGCUAGAGAAGAUCAAUUUGAAUAUUCAAGAACAUGAAAGAUUUUUCCUUGUAAAGUAUCUGUACUGAAACACUAAAGGAUUUAUGAUGUCAGUGUAAAAAAA